RNAcentral lists this ribosomal RNA (1450 nucleotides) under metagenome. Its description in RNAcentral is "bacterial SSU rRNA". It matches the Rfam family "Bacterial small subunit ribosomal RNA". The record is from RNAcentral.
AGAGUUUGAUCCUGGCUCAGGAUGAACGCUAGCUACAGGCUUAACACAUGCAAGUCGAGGGGAAACGAUAUUGGAAGCUUGCUUCCGAUAGGCGUCGACCGGCGCACGGGUGAGUAACGCGUAUCCAACCUGCCCACCACUUGGGGAUAACCUUGCGAAAGUAAGACUAAUACCCAAUGAUAUCUCUAGAAGACAUCUGAAAGAGAUUAAAGAUUUAUCGGUGAUGGAUGGGGAUGCGUCUGAUUAGCUUGUUGGCGGGGUAACGGCCCACCAAGGCAACGAUCAGUAGGGGUUCUGAGAGGAAGGUCCCCCACAUUGGAACUGAGACACGGUCCAAACUCCUACGGGAGGCAGCAGUGAGGAAUAUUGGUCAAUGGACGAGAGUCUGAACCAGCCAAGUAGCGUGCAGGAAGACGGCCCUAUGGGUUGUAAACUGCUUUUAUAAGGGAAUAAAGUGAGAGUCGUGACUCUUUUUGCAUGUACCUUAUGAAUAAGGACCGGCUAAUUCCGUGCCAGCAGCCGCGGUAAUACGGAAGGUCCGGGCGUUAUCCGGAUUUAUUGGGUUUAAAGGGAGCGUAGGCCGGAGAUUAAGCGUGUUGUGAAAUGUAGACGCUCAACGUCUGCACUGCAGCGCGAACUGGUUUCCUUGAGUACGCACAAAGUGGGCGGAAUUCGUGGUGUAGCGGUGAAAUGCUUAGAUAUCACGAAGAACUCCGAUUGCGAAGGCAGCUCACUGGAGCGCAACUGACGGUGAGGCGCGAAAGUGUGGGGAGCAAACAGGAUUAGAUACCCUGGUAGUCCACACUGUAAACGAUGAAUACUAGGUGUGCGGGGACUGACCCCCUGCGUGCCGCAGUUAACACAAUAAGUAUUCCACCUGGGGAGUACGAUCGCAAGGUUGAAACUCAAAGGAAUUGACGGGGGCCCGCACAAGCGGUGGAUUAUGUGGUUUAAUUCGAAGCAACGCGAAGAACCUUACCAGGGUUUGACAUCCUGCUAACGAAGUAGAGAUACAUUAGGUGCCCUUCGGGGAAAGCAGAGACAGGUGGUGCAUGGUUGUCGUCAGCUCGUGUCGUGAGAUGUUGGGUUAAGUCCCGCAACGAGCGCAACCCCUAUUGUUAGUUGCUACGCGAGAGCACUCUAGCGAGACUGCCGUUGACAAAACGGAGGAAGGUGGGGACGACGUCAAAUCAUCAUGCCCCUUAUAUCCUGGGCUACACACGUAAUACAAUGGCGGUCAACAGAGGGAUGCAAAGCCGCGAGGCAGAGCGAACCCCUAAAAGCCGUCCCAGUUCGGAUCGUGGGCUGCAACCCGCCCACGUGAAGUCGGAAUCGCUAGUAAUCGCGGAUCAGCAUGCCGCGGUGAAUACGUUCCCGGGCCUUGUACACACCGCCCGUCACACCAUGAGAGUCGGGAACACCCGAAGUCCGUAGCCUAACCUGAAAAGGA